This 778-nucleotide ribosomal RNA is filed under the name uncultured Neocallimastigales. RNAcentral describes it as "partial large subunit ribosomal RNA". The stretch from base 5 to 696 matches the Rfam family "Eukaryotic large subunit ribosomal RNA", at positions 24 to 664 of the family's 3401-position model. The record is from RNAcentral. Lineage: Eukaryota; Fungi; Neocallimastigomycota; Neocallimastigomycetes; Neocallimastigales.
CGAGCACGCGCGUGUGGCAUAUCAAUAAGCGGAGGAAAAGAAACUAACAAGGAUUCCCUUAGUAACGGCGAGUGAAGCGGGAAGAGCUCAAAUUUGAAAUCUUCAAGGGUUUCCCUUGACGAAUUGUAGUUUAAAGAAGUGUUUUCUGUUAGAGAGGUGGUAAAAGUUCUUUGGAAUAGGACAUCAUAGAGGGUGAGAAUCCCGUAUUUGAUCCAUUCUUUCUAACGUUGUGAUACACUUUCAAAGAGUCGGAUUGUUUGGGAAUGCAGUCCAAAAUGGGUGGUAAAUUUCAUCUAAAGCUAAAUAUUGGCGAGAGACCGAUAGCGAACAAGUACCGUGAGGGAAAGAUGAAAAGAACUUUGAAAAGAGAGUUAAACAGUACGUGAAAUUGUCAAAAGGGAAGCGUUUGACACCAGUGUUGUUUCUCCGAAAAUCAAUUACGAAUGUUUUAGUUUUUAAGGAGUUAUGACUUCAUCGGCUUGCUCCUUUCUUUACGAAACUUUCUUAAUGCACUUUUCGGUUAACAAGUCAACAUCAAUUUCUUUUGUUGUAAAAGGGUAUGAGGAAGGUGGCUUUCUUUUCGGAGAAAGUGUUUAUAGCCUUGUAGCCUCUGCAAUCGGAGAGAUUGAGGUCUGCAGCGUAGAUCCUUCGGGGUUAGAUACAUUUGUGCUAAGCUAUAGUUCUUUAUAGACAACUUGUUGACUAUAGUCUAGUCCUGUAGCUUACUCGCUUAUGCUAUUUUACCUACGCUUAGGAUGUUGAUGUGAUACUGCGAGCA